GGUGCAGACACUCCUGCAACAGAUGCAAGAUAAAUUUCAGACCAUGUCCGACCAGAUCAUUGGAAGAAUUGAUGACAUGAGCAGUCGCAUUGAUGACCUGGAAAAAAACAUUGCAGACCUCAUGACACAGGCUGGGGUGGAAGAGCUGGAAGGCGACAACAAGAUCCCCGCCACACAGAAAAGUUGAAGGUGGCUCAAUUGCACUGAAAUCCAGAACACCCUUUUUACAAGCCAAGAGACGACGGAUGGCUUUUUGCAACUAACUACUAUGUGUAGACAGGUUUUAUAUUAUAAAGUGUGCAUUCUUCUUGCCACAUACUAUAGAGUUAGGUUAUAGAGUGACCUCUCCCCCCCACCCCCCGUGUUUCCUGAACAUGGUAACUUCCUAUCUUGGACCUUGGUCAGUUGUGCUAUUAAACACUAAAACUUUGGCAGUUCCUGCGAACAAUUGUCCAAUUUUUUAGUGUAUUUUUGUGCAGUCGGUUUUUUCCUAUCUUUCCCUUCGUAGCAGUUGCUGUUGGAUGAAAGUCGUUGUGUAGUUCUUUUAAUUAGACGUGGAGUAGAUCCUCAGUUAUAAUUAGGUUUUGUGACGUGAAACAUUUAUAGUUAGGGUUCUUUAAUUCUCAGACCGUGACUGUUCAAUGAACACCAAAUAGUGUGCUGAUAGAGUUUCAGGUGGUUGAAAACAUGUCAAAUUGUGUGUUCAGAACUAUCUGACACUACUGUGCCACCCAACCUCGGAAUUGAACCGUGAUUUUAUGUCCGAGUCCCUGAGGUCAGAUGCUACAGUGACAAAGAGUGACCACUGCCACUUAGGUUAGAAUUCUUAAACAUGGAAAGUAGCAAAAUUGCCUGGUGUCCGGAGGCCUUUCGUAGUUAGAGUUUUGCAUGACGUUUGAGCACUUCAGUAGGCCGUGCUUUGUCCAUCGGCAGUAGUUCCCAUAGGAAAUCUGGCGGGAUUGGACGACUCUGCUGCUUCGUGUCUUGAGCUCCUGGCUGGGCAAAGAGACAGGCAAGAAGAGCAGACCGUGUCCAGUCCGGCCAGUGACUUGGCUAGGAGAUGAGAAGUGAUUUGUUAGAGGCUCGAGUUUUUAAGGAACUCUGUUUCUGAAAACUCUUUCUUACCUAAAUCCCAGCAGAGCAAUGGUUUUGUUAUGGGUGCCGGGAGACACUCACCCUUGCAGCUUAGCAGGAGGGUGAGCCUGGAGGCCAGCGCUGACAGGAGGAGGCCCGCGAGGCCGUCCCGGGGCCGUCCCGGCGGGGUGAUGUGAGCAAUGGCCACUGUGCUUUGGAGAGGGAAACCCUUCGUCAACAGGGUGUGUGUUUUCAGAGUUUUCCUGUGUCACCAGUCUCAAUUGUUUGUAUUGCACAUAUAUAAUAAUAUUAAGGAAUAAUUUGUCCUGUUUAUAAAUUUUACGGGGAACACAAAGGAGUGGAUUUCUCCUGGGAUGAAAUGGAUUCCCCACUGUCGUUAUGGCGCCACAGAAACUCCUUUGCCGGGCCAGUAGGUCAUGCUCCGAGGUGUAGCCCUGAGAGCCCGGAGCCGGCUGGAUUCUGAGGACUAAACGGAGCCGUGUGUGGGAUGCGCCCGGGACUGGGAUGUGGCAAGGGAACAGUCGGGCAGAGGGCGUCAGCUUCCUUAGGUCCUGGGCAGGUGUCAGAGCAAGCUCGGGAGACCAGAAACACCUGCUGUGAAUAAAGGUGCCUGAAUCCUGCUGCUGACGCUUCCUUCCUUUGUGUCGUAAGUGAUUGGUUUGGUUUUCCAUGUUUUCAUACCAUUUUAGAUGAUCAGCUCGAACCUCUGCAAGGAUUCAGUACCAGUAGCCCAAGUGGGAACGGGUACCACGAGGGGACUGUGCUGCUGGAAGGGACACUUGGGAGCGCAGAGGCCUCCCACAUCCGGCCACAGAGAGCCAGGCCUUCUGCCCUCCAGCAGGGCCCCUGCCCUGCCGGUAUAUUCCCAGGACACGCGGUCCCUCUCCAGCAGAGAGGGCUCGUGCUUCUCUGGGGGUGUAGACUCUGCUGUUCAUGUAAUUGACCUGCUGGAAGUUCACUGUGCGAAUUAGCACAGGAGAGCCUCGGCCUCUGGAGCCGAAAUGGGAUUUAACUCCUGCCAGUUUCCAAGUUACUUGACCAAGGAUCCCCCCACCCCCCGCACUUAGUACCAAAUAAGGAUUUUAUUGAACCAGCCUCUGGCGUCAAACACACCUAGGGAGAUAGCAGUGAAAGAAGUCCACUAAAUGGCUUGGGGUUCACUUCUUAAACGCCUGCACAUCAAGAGCCACUUGACACUCAUUCCUCAGCCUCCAGGCGAAGCUCUGCUUUGAGCGAGAGGGGCCCUCCGACCCUGGUGAGGCCCUCACAUUGUGCAAAAGAAUGCUUUUCCUCGAGUCACCUCAGACAACCCCUGGAAAAUACUAAAUGCCCCUCACAGCCACAGCCAGGGCCUCCAGCUACAGCCUCCCAGCCUUUCUCUGCCUUUAUGGCACAACCUGGAUUCGCUAGAGAAAUGGCUGUUUCCCCCUCCAGCCUCCCCGGCAGGGUUCGCUCUACUCUUGCCCUGAAGCCUCUGCUCUGCAGGCUUCCAGCAGGUCAGCAUUGCCCCUUUCUAGCUUUUGGUGCCACGCAAUCCAUCUACUUUAUUCUCCAACUAUCUUUUGUUCAAAUUUACAAGCCAAUGAAGAUCCUACUUAGAGCCAAGAAAUAUAGCUAGUGUGGAGGUGCUUGCACCAAGCAAAGCAGCCUUAAGUUUGAUUAAAUGCCCGCAUCUCCCAAGCUCAGAGGCCCCACCGGCUUCCUCAUUUGGCCUGUAGCUGGUCCUGCUUUCAUUCAAGCCACAGGGUUUUUAAAUGUUCGAGUAUUAUCAGUUUCAUUUUUCUGCUGCUUCAUGUCUGAAGGGCCAUUAUGUUUGACCUAGCAGAGCAAACAUGCAGUACGUCAGGUAAUUGAAGUUUCAGUUGCCUUUGUGAAUUGUUAGAAUCCUAACAGCAGUUAGAGCGUCAUUGCUAUGGGGACAGAAAGGCCAACACACGCCUUACAGUGAACUUAGCAUCCAGUGUGUAAAUGGCAGCUUCCCGGUAUGGAUAAUUAUGUCCCUUUUUCUCAUUUGGCAUUGUCUAGUUUAUAUAUUUUUAAUUAGAUUAAAAUGAAGGAAUUUGCACAAGACGUUGUCAGAUCCAGCCCUGAAAAUUAGCUGGCAACAGUUAACGAUGAGUCACAGCUACUAGCCCCUAUGAAAGUGCGUGUUGUGAACCACUGUGCUGUGCAAGCCUUCUGUUUGUGUUAUUUGGCUUAAUCCUCAUGAGAGUCAGAAAGAACCCAGUUCCAGGGGACAAUUGACGGGGGUCCCACAGCUGGAAGGCAGUGACCCUGGAAUCGCCACCCACAGCUGUGGGACCACAGUGCUCCAUGUCCCAGCUGUUUGGCCCACAUAGUGGUGAGAGCUGCGAUUGCCCACGGCCGGGCUGUCUGAAAUCAACAACCUGCUACCUCAGUGGAGCUUGAAAUUCAGUUUCCACAUCACCUAAGGUGAAUAAUACACAUGCUUGAUGUGAGUAAUUUUCAGAGUUACACUAUCCAGGGCUAGGAGAAAUGUGCUCCUGGGCUAGCAUCUUUUUUCCCCCCUAAGUUAUUUGGAAACAAACAGAGAAACAGGUCCAGUUCAGUUUCUCAAAUGUUCACCUUGACAAACCAUGGGGAAUGCUGACUACUGGUUGGCACGUUCAUUUCCUCAGUCAAAAAUUAUCCCUUGAGACCUACUUUGGAGGAAAAAAGAGCCCCUCCCCCACUGGCUUCUUUGCUUGUCAGGUCUCCUCAUUAAAGAGACGACAGUGAGUACAGAGCCUUAAAAAGGGACCCGUGCAGCCACCACCUGGCAGCCAGCUCACCUGACCUGCAACCUGCGCCGUCAAGACUGGCUCAGUGAUGGGGUCUUCCAUUCAAAUCACGUGUCAUUUUUGCCUUAGUGGCUGCUUAGUGCCACUGCGGUGAGAACAGAAGGAUCUCUGACCCCUGACAGGUGAUGUCUUGUCAGCCAGGUUCAUCUUCCCGUUUACUCCAGAGCCUGCCCGCCCUGCUGGACGCAGACGGGGGCUCCACCCUCACUGUCUCCAUUCCUCGGAGCUUCCAAAGGUCCCUGACAUCGAAGAGGUUUCCAGCUGGAACCUGUCUCCCUUGAAUCAGCCCUUCCAAGCCCAUUGCUUAAACCGUUGCUGGGGCCUUGCUGUCUCUCAGCGUGUAUGGGUCUUGAGACGUAGCCAUCAAAACCCAGUGUUUCCAGCAAGAAACUUUAAAUAUUAAAUAUCUUAAAACCACAGCCUUCUUAGGCAGAAGAAAAGUCAGUGAAUGGGCUUUAGAUAAUCAUCAGAAAAGUCAUUUGUGGAAAUUUAAAGAAUGUGAUUGUUUCUUUUAAUGAUACAUUCUCCUGAGACUAGAAGACCACUUAACUGGUUCUGUUCCAAAAUCCUGUCGAGGCCAAAAGACGGGCCCAAAUUCUUGCUGGAACAGAAGGCUGGGAGAGGUCUGGGACACAGAUUUUAAAGCUGGAAAAACUGCAAAACAACAUCCCCCAAAGAAAUCAGAUGACCCCCUGGAUAGGCAGACAGCUCUGAUGCCAGCCAACCUCAGAUGCUCCUCAAUCAGAACUUGUAUUCAUUGGCCCCAUAAUUAAGAAUCUUAACGAGAAAGACUUGAAACCAGCUGUCAAAAUUAGGCUGUCUUACCAGCAGAAUUUCAAAAAGGCGGACGGGCUUUGGGGUCCAUGUUGCCCUCAUCACUGUGGCCAGACCUUCUGUCAGAAUCCUUUGUCCGAAAGGUUGAUUGUGUGAAGCAUGCAUUUUUAUACCAGCAUCAUCCAAAGGAAAUAGGGUAAGAUUCUUUCCAUGGGUCAAACUCAUUUUCUGCAGCGCAGACGAGGCCUCACAGUGAUCUGUGACUCAACUCCGGCCUCCCCAGAAGGAACAGCGGAGCCUGGGGGUUGAGCCUGUAGGACACCCCUGCCCCCGCCCCAGGGCAGCUGAGCCAGUAUUUCUGGCCUCACAGAUGGAGAACAUUUUUCCUCCCCACGAACUGCGAGAAAUUUCUUCGGUCUAUUCAAGCUGAUCUGUAUUCCAGAACAAUUCUGGGCAAGGUCCGUUAGUAAGACUUUAACAAUUUACUGUGCAGCAGGUGCAGACCUUAAAGAAGCUUUUGUUGUGCUGAGUAAUAUCAUGAGCUGGGGAGGGAGUCUUCGAAAUUAACUUCACGUGGUCCUCCGUCUGCCUGAUGCCAGAUUUCGCACCAGGAAGAUACUCUGCGUUUCCUUCGUUGGGACCAAACGACUGUUCUGCUCUGGACUGUGUAACUCCUUCACACCGACCGUCUACCAGAUCACCAAGGCGCCAACAAUAUUCAUUCUUCUGCAGGCUACUGACACUAUUUUUCACAUUUUGGUCUGAGCACAGGGAAUUGCCUUGGGUUUAAACAAACAUAACCUCGAGAGCAUUUUUGUCCCUCAGAGAGAGUUACCCCAGGACAGUGGUUCUUCUAAUGUGGUUCCCCAGCCAAUCAAUGGCAGCCGAAUCCCCUGGGAACUUGUUAGAAGCAUUAUUCCCAGGCCCUGCCCAGAGUCGAAACACAAGACCCUGGGGCACGAUUGCCAUGCCAAUUCAGCGACUUGGGGAGACCCUGAUCCAGUACCCAUGGGACAGGGGCUGGGGAUCCGUCUCUGCGGUCAGUUCUCCAGUUUGUUUUGUUAUCUUAUUUCCUACACAGGAAAACACUGCACGGAGAAACGAGGCAGCAGGGAAAAUAUUCUUACUCUGAGUCACUCUGGCCAGGGCCGGUCCUAAGGUAAUUUAAAAGGAAUUGAUUCUUAAUUACCCAGAACGUGGGCGCAUAGGACCAGAGAUGACCUUUCGGGUCCAAGGAGCUGAGCGUGAAGAGCCCUCACUCCACCAAGGCUUGAAUCAUUUUAAAUCAAUUUGCUGCUUAUUAAAAUGCACUUGAACAAAAAACCUUUUCAACUCUUCAGCCACGAAAGGAUAGCCAAUCAUUGAAAGCUUCCUGAGUGUUUCAGUUGAUUAAAAAGGUUUUAAAGAGCAUGGUAAAUAUUUUACCAGAAGGGUGAGUUAUUCACUAAGGAGAUGAUUUAUUAAAAACUAGUAAUUUCUUAGUUAAUUUAUCUUUAUUUUCAAGAAAAUGCAUUCUUUUCAUGUGGGCCUACUUCUUUUCUGUCCUCACAGCAAGUAAGCUGUGCGUUGAUAAUUCCCUAAUACAUCUAUUGAAGUAGAGUUUUUGUGAAAGUAACAAGAUUUUACCAAUAAAAAAGAAAGAGGUGUAUAAAAUUUCAUUUUGAAAACAACUCUAGGAGGGUUUUAAGAAGAGUUUCAUGUACUUAAAAAGAAACCGUGUUUGCUGUUUUGGAAAAAGAGCAAGUUUCUUAUCUCUUGAGUCAUCCAUCCUAAAGGAAAUAACUAAUGCAUGACUUUUUCUUCUUCUUAUCGGUAGGAAAGAAAGCAUUUAAUGCUUAGUCUCAAAACCAAGGCACUGAGUUCAAGUACUUAUGGCCAAAUAGUUUGUUUUGAUAAUUAAAAAAAUCAGGAUAGUUUCUGUUGCAAGCAAUGACUAAAAAAUGGCUCUAACAGUAAAGGAUAUUUAAUGACCUCAUAAAAUGAGAAGUCCAGAGACCAGCAGUUUCUGGGGUGUUUCAUCAGUCAGUCCCACUCCGUCCUGACUCCAGGCUGGCUGCUCUGUACUUUGCCCUCCCCCUGACAUAGUAUCUCCACCCACCACAUCUGGGGACAGCCCAACCCCCCCCCCCCAAAAAAAAAGAUACGAUGAAAUCCUAGCCAAGACCUCAUAACGUGGCCUUAGUGAGAAACAAUCUGCAGAAGUCAUCGAGUUGCGGUCAGGUGUUCACACUGCGGCACAGUGGGUUAAGAGGCUCAGGUUGCUGCAGAGGCACAGGUUCGAGCCCCUGACUGGCACAUUGGGUUCAAGGAUCCAGCAUUGCCACUGCUGCUGCAUGGAUCAGAGCUGCAACUUAGAUUCAAUCCCCGGCCCAGGAGCUUCCAUAUGUGGAAGAUUUGGCCUUUAAAAAAAAAAGUUGGGAGUUCCCGUCGUGGCUCAGGGGUUAACAAAUCUGACUAGGAUCCAUGAGGUUGCAGGUUUGAUCCCUGGCCUCACUCAGUGGGUUAAGGAUCCAGUGUUGCUGUGAGCUGUGGUCGAAGGUCGAAGACGCGGCUCGGAUCCCCUGUUGCUGUGGCUCUGGUGUAGGCCAGCAGCUACAGCUCCGAUUGGCCCCCUAGCCUGGGAACCUCCAUGUGCCGCAGGUGUGGCCCUAGGAAAGACAAAAAGACAAAAAAAAAAAAAAA
RNAcentral lists this long non-coding RNA (7352 nucleotides) under Sus scrofa (pig). Its description in RNAcentral is "lncRNA (ENSSSCG00005032406.1)". Lineage: Eukaryota; Metazoa; Chordata; Mammalia; Artiodactyla; Suidae. The record is from RNAcentral.